Molecule: ribosomal RNA, 312 nt
Filed under: uncultured bacterium
Lineage: Bacteria
Description: bacterial SSU rRNA
Rfam family: Bacterial small subunit ribosomal RNA
Source: RNAcentral
GACGAACGCUGGCGGCGUGCCUAAUACAUGCAAGUAGAACGCUGAGGACUGGUGCUUGCACUGGUCUAAGGAGUUGCGAACGGGUGAGUAACGCGUAGGUAACCUACCUCAUAGCGGGGGAUAACAGUUAGAAAUGACUGCUAAUACCGCAUAUGCCUAAGUACCACAUGGUACAAUAGGGAAAGGAGCAAUCCGCUGAUAGAUGGGCUUGCGUCUGAUUAGUUAGUUGGUGGGGUAACGGCCUACCAAGACGACGAUCAGUAGCCGGACUGAGAGGUUGAACGGCCACAUUGGGACUGAGAUACGGCCCAG